GUAUUGAUGAACUGAUGGCAUUAUUGGGUCUGGAAAGCGCGCUGCGCGAUCGCUAUCCGCAUCAGCUUUCCGGCGGGCAACAGCAGCGGGUCGGCGUUGCGCGGGCGCUGGCUGCCGAUCCGCAGGUAUUGCUGAUGGACGAGCCUUUCGGCGCGCUUGAUCCGGUAACGCGCGGCGCAUUGCAGCAGGAGAUGACCCGCAUUCAUCAGCUGCUGGGGCGCACCAUCGUACUGGUGACGCACGACAUCGAUGAGGCGCUACGCCUCGCCGACCAUCUGGUGCUGAUGGACGGGGGCCACGUUAUCCAACAGGGAUCGCCGCUUUCUAUGCUGACCUCGCCGGAAAAUGAUUUCGUGCAGGCGUUUUUUGGCCGCAGCGAGCUGGGCGUAAGGC
This 393-nucleotide unclassified non-coding RNA is filed under the name uncultured fungus. RNAcentral describes it as "partial internal transcribed spacer 1". Lineage: Eukaryota; Fungi. The record is from RNAcentral.